This 496-nucleotide ribosomal RNA is filed under the name uncultured bacterium. Its description in RNAcentral is "bacterial SSU rRNA". It matches the Rfam family "Bacterial small subunit ribosomal RNA", at positions 29 to 514 of the family's 1533-position model. The record is from RNAcentral.
AGUGAACGCUGGCGGCAGGCCUAAUACAUGCAAGUCGAACGGCAGCACAGCAGAGCUUGCUCUGUGGGUGGCGAGUGGCGGACGGGUGAGGAAUACAUGGGAAUCUGCCCAGUCGUGGGGGAUAACGUAUGGAAACGUACGCUAAUACCGCAUGCGCCCUACGGGGGAAAGCCGGGGACCGAAAGGCCUGGCGCGAUUGGAUGAGCCCAUGUUCGAUUAGCUAGUUGGCGGGGUAAAGGCCCACCAAGGCGACGAUCGAUAGCUGGUCUGAGAGGAUGAUCAGCCACACUGGAACUGAGACACGGUCCAGACUCCUACGGGAGGCAGCAGUAGGGAAUAUUGGACAAUGGGGGCAACCCUGAUCCAGCCAUGCCGCGUGAGUGAAGAAGGCCCUCGGGUUGUAAAGCUCUUUUGUCCGGAAAGAAAGCAUUCGGUUAAUACCCGGGUGUUCUGACGGUACCGGAAGAAUAAGCACCGGCUAACUUCGUGCCAGCAG